Lynx canadensis (Canada lynx) is the source of this 100-nucleotide long non-coding RNA. RefSeq lists it as uncharacterized. The transcript has 4 exons. NCBI's taxonomy places the organism in Eukaryota, Metazoa, Chordata, Mammalia, Carnivora, Felidae. The record is from RefSeq and is a predicted model, not a curated record.
GGGCUUGAACUCACAGACUGUGAGAUCAUGACCUAAGCCGAAGUGAGACACUUAGUCGACUGAGCUACCCCGGCGCCCCAAUUUGAAAGAUACAAAUGAG